GGAAGACACCCUGCUGAUUGCCCGGCACGUUAUUCUCUGUUUGGCAGUGGUAAUCUGCUUGACGAUUUUCUUGCGUGGCUACAACAAACAGCAGAAUGCAUUCAGACAAAGAAGUUCAACUGUUCCCAUUUUUGGGGUGAUCGAUACUCACCGACACUUUCCGGCGCUGUCAUCGCUUGUAAUAUCCUGAAAGAUCUGGAGGGAAUUGCGCUGCCCAUGUAUUUCUUUGGCUCUGGAACUUGCUGUUCACUUGGUGGUAGGUUUGCUUGCAUUUCUUC
Apis cerana (Asiatic honeybee) is the source of this 278-nucleotide long non-coding RNA. RefSeq lists it as uncharacterized. The record is from RefSeq and is a predicted model, not a curated record. NCBI's taxonomy places the organism in Eukaryota, Metazoa, Arthropoda, Insecta, Hymenoptera, Apidae.